UUCGCAAUGCCCGAAAGGGUGACGAAGCGACGCCGCGUGUGGGAAGAAGGCCUUCGGGUUGUAAACCACUGUCGGGAGUUAAGAAAUGUAGGGAUGCUAAUAGUAUUCUUACUUGACUAAGGCUCCGGAGGAAGCCACGGCUAACUCUGUGCCAGCAGCCGCGGUAAUACAGAGGCGGCAAGCGUUGUUCGGAAUUAUUGGGCGUAAAGAGCACGUAGGCGGCUGUGUAAGCCGGUUGUGAAAGCCUUCCGCUUAACGGAAGAACAGCGACCGAUACUGCAUAGCUAGAGUGCGGGAGGGGAGAGUGGAACUUCUGGUGGAGCGGUGAAAUGCGUAGAUAUCAGAAGGAACGCCGGCGGCGAAAGCGGCUCUCUGGACCGUAACUGACGCUGAGUGUGCGAAAGCUAGGGGAGCAAACGGGAUUAGAUACCCCGGUAGUCCUAGCCGUAAACGAUGGGCACUAAGUAGAGGGGUUUU
Molecule: ribosomal RNA, 477 nt
Filed under: uncultured bacterium
Lineage: Bacteria
Description: bacterial SSU rRNA
Rfam family: Bacterial small subunit ribosomal RNA
Source: RNAcentral